RNAcentral lists this long non-coding RNA (417 nucleotides) under Solanum tuberosum (potato). RNAcentral describes it as "long non-coding RNA (STUB_LNC003480)". The record is from RNAcentral. Lineage: Eukaryota; Viridiplantae; Streptophyta; Magnoliopsida; Solanales; Solanaceae.
CCCCUUUCUUCUUUUCUUUUUCUUUCUUCUUUUCUUUUUCUUUUUUCUUGACAUUUGUUUGGUGAAACUUUUUCUGCCAUUGAAGAGAAAAUUUCAAGUUUUAUUUAUGAUAGUUUUAAGCUUACAGUAAUGAAAUGUGCAGUGAUGAAAUUUCAAGUUUUAUUAUUGAAAGGUAAAGUUAUAAAUCUUUGAUAAUCUUUCGUUUUUUGCCAUUGAUUAAUCUUUUUUUCACCAUUUUCAUCUUCCUUGUAAACAUCAAAAGUUUAUCAAUCAACCCAACUCCCUUCUUCCUUCCUACCACUAAUAUUAUCAAGUCUUAAACCUUUGAUAUAUAAAAAAAAAAAAAAAACUCAAGUUUUGAAGGAGUUGACGAUAUGUUUCAUGUUUUCAUCAUCGAUGACUGCAACAACAAUUUUG